RNAcentral lists this RNase P RNA (284 nucleotides) under Candidatus Methanophagaceae archaeon ex4572_4. Its description in RNAcentral is "ANME-1 cluster archaeon ex4572_4 RNase P RNA component". It matches the Rfam family "Archaeal RNase P". From Rfam's summary of the family: Ribonuclease P (RNase P) is a ubiquitous endoribonuclease, found in archaea, bacteria and eukarya as well as chloroplasts and mitochondria. Lineage: Archaea; Methanobacteriati; Methanobacteriota; Methanomicrobia; Candidatus Methanophagales; Candidatus Methanophagaceae. RNAcentral also lists the same sequence under 2 other names. The record is from RNAcentral.
GAGAGAGGAAGGGCAGCUGCCGGCCAACCUUUAAAAAAGCGUUUUUCUUGAAGGGCAGGCUGAGGAAAGUCCCCCCACCGAAAAAGCACGAACGUUGAGAGGGCGUAAGGCGAGAGUCUUGGCUCUGGGAUAGAAACGAACCGUGCCACACAAAAGCGAUGAUUCCGUGAGGAAGAGGUCGUGUGGUUCUGCGGAUGGAACGACCAACCUCGUGGGUGCAAGCCUCAAGAGAAGGUGCAAAGAUGAAUGCUGCCGAAACAGAAGGGGGCUUACUCUCCUCACUC